AUCCAGCUGACGAGUCCCAAAUAGGGCUAAAUGCGGGUUGUCCUGGAU
This 48-nucleotide non-coding RNA is filed under the name Trichobilharzia regenti. The record is from RNAcentral. Lineage: Eukaryota; Metazoa; Platyhelminthes; Trematoda; Strigeidida; Schistosomatidae.